GCUGGUGCUGCAGCCGCAUCCAUCUACAGCUACUGCACUGCCAAUGGGGAAUUAAUUAAGUGUUGGCCUGGCCUGGGUGGUAGUGGUGGUGCAUGGUGUCUAUAUUUUAUUUUAUACACUUAUUCUCGAUCAUAUAUAUAUAUAUGUUCCUUCUUCACCUUAGUUAUUGCUUUCCAAUCAUUCUUACAUUUCUUAGUUGGGUUUCGGAUUCCACUUUGAAGCAAGAUAGGACUUGCACUUGCACUUGCACUUGCCUUUGCCUUCAAUCCACUUAUGCUUCUUAUUAGCACCUGACUUACUUGGAAAGUGCAGUUUAUGUAGGACCCCCCCAUUCAAUUCAUUUUCUUUGCUUCAAAAAGAAGGAAUGGGUCCACACCACAGAGUUCCACAAAAAAUGAGAAUUGUGUACAGAGAGAGGUGGGGCAAAUUAAAGAAAUACAGUGGGAUUCUUGGAGGGGUCAAAUGUCGAUAUUGGGAGUGGGGGCCAUACAAGAAACAAAAAAAAAAAAAAAAAAAAACCUACAAUAA
This is a long non-coding RNA of Andrographis paniculata, 528 nucleotides long. RefSeq lists it as uncharacterized. The record is from RefSeq and is a predicted model, not a curated record. NCBI's taxonomy places the organism in Eukaryota, Viridiplantae, Streptophyta, Magnoliopsida, Lamiales, Acanthaceae. The transcript has 2 exons.